RNAcentral lists this long non-coding RNA (1062 nucleotides) under Ananas comosus (pineapple). RNAcentral's name for it is "long non-coding RNA (ACOM_LNC015023)". Lineage: Eukaryota; Viridiplantae; Streptophyta; Magnoliopsida; Poales; Bromeliaceae. The record is from RNAcentral.
CUAUCCGCGCAAAAGGUAAAAAUUCGAUCUUAUUUUUCUCUUUUAAUCAUAAAGAACAUGAGGAAUCUUGAUUGUGUGGUUUUUGAGAUUGGAUCUCGAGAGUUUUCAAAAUCAAAUUUGUUUGAUUUUUUUUCGCGUUUUUAUCGUACGCAAUUUUCUAACAGUGGUAUCAGAGCCAUCCUCAAUCCUCUUGUUUUUCAAUAUUAAAAUUAUGAAUUUGGGUAUUUUAAAUCGUUCUUCGCCGGUCGAACGAUUUAUAGAUCGUUUUUUAUUGAUUCGAAAAAUCGUCAGCUGAUUAAACAAUUUAAUCUAUUGUUGCAAGCAAAAAAAAAAAAAAAAACUGUAGCGUCCGUACGGACGCUACUGUACUAUCCGUACGGAAUUUUUUAAAAUUUUUUUAAAAAUAAUUUGAUUAGAUCGUUUUAAAAUAAUAAAAAGAAAAGAGGUGGAUCAAAUUUAAUUAUAUAUAUCAAAUUAAUAUCUUGAUGAGAUCAAGUUGUUUUGUUUGAAAAUUAAGUUGUUGAUCAAAAUUAUAAACGAUCAAUAAGAUUGAUUGUUUUUAAUAAUUUAGUCAUUGAUUUUUCGAAUCAUCGUUGAACGGUUAAUUAGAAUACCCAAAAUUAAUUAUUAUGUAUGUGAUGUAUGAGAUACAUAUCGAUGAUGAUCAUGGAUAGCGACCUAUUUAUUUUUGUUUUGAUAUGUGAUGUAUGAUGUGUAUGCAGAAUCCUGUAAUUUUAAAUUUGUUUAAAUAAGAACUUUGUAUUAGAGAUGGCUUUUUUGUGCCUGUGUGCACAAGCCGAUUUAUUUGGAGACCUGUGUGUCACAAUAGGUUAGAAAUAAAAAUGAUCAAAUGUAAUUAAUUUUUAUUUCAUUUUUAUUGUUAGGUUGUAUAAUGUAUGGUUGCACGUCAUUGGUUGAUCGGUUGCUAGCCGAGAGGUACGCAAAGACUUAAUCGAGAUGAAUAGUUGAUGGUGGUCGGAUCAAGAUGUUGAUAGGAUCGGAUCAAAUUAUAGCUCCGGAUCGAAUCAAGUAGUUGAAGACGAUCAAACUAAUGACGUGUGU